UGGGGAAUAUUGCGCAAUGGGCGAAAGCCUGACGCAGCAACGCCGCGUGAGUGAUGAAGGCCUUCGGGUCGUAAAGCUCUGUCGGAGGGAACGAAUGCUCUUGAGGUUAACAGCCUCGGGAGGUGACGGUACCCUCAAAGGAAGCGCCGGCUAACUCCGUGCCAGCAGCCGCGGUAAGACGGAGGGCGCAAGCGUUGUUCGGAAUUACUGGGCGUAAAGCGCGGGCAGGCGGUCUGUUAAGUCGUUUGUGAAAAUCCGGGGCUCAACCCCGGAAAUGCAUACGAUACUGGCAGGCUGGAGACUGGUAGAGGCUAGCGGAAUUCCUGGUGUAGCGGUGGAAUGCGUAGAUAUCAGGAAGAACACCUGUGGCGAAGGCGGCUAGCUGGGCCAGUUCUGACGCUGAUCCGCGAAAGCGUGGGGAGCAAACAGGAUUAGAUACCCGAGUAGUCCCUGAGCGGGCUGGCAAGGCGCAU
Molecule: ribosomal RNA, 473 nt
Filed under: uncultured bacterium
Lineage: Bacteria
Description: bacterial SSU rRNA
Rfam family: Bacterial small subunit ribosomal RNA
Source: RNAcentral